This 253-nucleotide ribosomal RNA is filed under the name uncultured bacterium. RNAcentral describes it as "partial 16S ribosomal RNA". It matches the Rfam family "Bacterial small subunit ribosomal RNA", at positions 524 to 776 of the family's 1533-position model. The record is from RNAcentral.
GACGUAGGGGGCCAGCGUUGCUCGGAAUUACUGGGUGUAAAGGGUUCGUAGGCGGUGUGGCAAGUCGGGAGUGAAAUCUCUGGGCUUAACUCAGGGGCUGCUUCCGAAACUGCCGUGCUAGAGUGUGGGAGAGGCGCGUGGAAUUGCAGGUGUAGCGGUGAAAUGCGUAGAUAUCUGCAGGAACACCCGUGGCGAAAGCGGCGCGCUGGACCGUUACUGACGCUGAGGAACGAAAGCUAGGGGAGCAAACAGG